Molecule: long non-coding RNA, 6594 nt
Filed under: Theobroma cacao (cacao)
Lineage: Eukaryota; Viridiplantae; Streptophyta; Magnoliopsida; Malvales; Malvaceae
Description: long non-coding RNA (TCAC_LNC003809)
Source: RNAcentral
AAAAUAAAUUUAUUCAUAUAGUAAUAAAGAUAAUUAAAGUAUGAAAUUUCAUUUACAGUGAUACGUGGGCCCCCAACUGACCAAGAAGGUGUAGGGCUACGAACCCGUACUUUCUAGGAUGCAAAUCCGAGAUUAAUUCUCAUUUGAAUCAACUAUCAAAAAACUAUCCUAAGCCUGAAAAAUGAUAGCAAGAGAGGUGAGAUUAUAUAAUCCCAGUGAGUAAACAAUUACCAUCAAAAGCAUCUAAAGCCAAGUAGAUGGAGACAUUAUAAAGAUGUUAUAUCUCAAUAAUGUUCAUAACGCAAAAUUCGUUUCGAUCUAUACCAAACCAUUUCUUGUCAUCAAAAUUUCUCGGCUUAUGAAUUUCUUAAACUUGGCCCCUGCCAGAAUCAUUCUCGCGGGUACCUUCGUCAAGGUAUCCCACUGAGAUCGCCAAGGUUGUUAAAUGUCCCAUACCCAUAAACAUGUUUUCACAUCUGACACACAGCCGUUCCUUGGCGUUGACUGAGUCUGACUCUCACGUGGUGGCCCGAAUGUGAGGUGCACUCAAAUCUUACCUUAGGAGAUACUUCAUCCAACAUCUCCCCUCGGAGGUAGGUAUAUAAUUAGGUUACCGUGUGUCACGACCCAGAAAUCCCCUCGAACCCGUGACAACCGCCACGGUGCCCCUAUGGGCACUCACCUCCCGAAAUGCCAACCGAAACCCUGCAAGGCUUAAUAUCAGUUUCUCUUUUCCCCGGUGAGUAUCCAUUGCCAAAUAUUAUGGUCUAAAGGAUUUUGAGCUAUUUUCAACUUAAAACUGAUAAAAUAAAAAUUUGUCUCAUAGGGGCAUUUUGAUCAUUUUUCUCAAAAAUCUCAAAAUCAGUUAAAAAUGUAGUAUGCAAGUUAAAAACACAUAUUUCAUAAUCAAAAAUAAUUUUGGAUGUCUAAAACAUUUGUUUAAAAUGAAAUUAUGACUAUUAGUAUAAAAUAAAAAUAUUGAAUAAAAUAUUCAAUUUUUCUCAUGAAAUAAUAUUUUAAGAACACUGCAUAAAUAAUUUUUACAACGUAAAACUAAAAUAAAUUCAUAUAUAUUGUAAUACAGAUAAUCAAGAUAUAAAAUUAAAUUUGCAGUGACACGUGGGCCCACGAACGACCAAAAGUUUCUAGAGAGAUAAACAUACAUAUUUUGAGGAUGUCAAUCCAAUUGUAAUCCUCGAUGAAAUGAGCUAUCUACAGAUUUUUCUGAGCCUGAAAUGGGUGGAAAUGAGGGUGGUGAGAUUAUAAAAUCCCAGUGAAUAAACAAACACCGUUUAAAUAAGCUAAAGCCGAGUAAAGGGAGACAAUUAAAAUAUCCCAUCAUUUUAAGUAUUUCACAAUUUGAAAAUUCAUCCCAACCCAUGCAAAUGGUUGUAUUUCAUUUAAUUUCUCAUUAAGGCUUAUGACUUUCAUAACAUUUGGCUCAUGCCAUCAAAUAGUACUCGAUGACACCUUGAUCAAAGGUGUACACUCGAGCCCGCCAAGGCUGUUAAAAAUUUCGUAUACGCAUAAAACAUAUUUUUAGUUUGAAAAAUAUAACCAUUCCUUGGCAUUAGCGGAGUUCAUCAUCACGAGGUGGUUUGGCGUGACGUGAACUCUAUCCAUACCUCAGGAGAUACCCUACGUGCCUCUCCGACCGAGGUACAUAUAUAUAUCUGAAUUUCGUGCCCCUCUAAUAGGCUAGUCCGCAGAAUCCGCCUACUGCAGUAAGCUAAACCCACCAUAUAAUAAAAUUUUAACGGCAUGACAGGGCUAAUAUAAUACUACCCAGCCUACAAGGGUAAAAUACAACAAUUCAUACAAUUCAUAAAACACAGCCCAGCCAAUCAUGCCAACACAAUAAUAAUAUAUCAUAAGCCAUCAAUUUCUAAUCAUAAAUUUACAACAUACCAGUGGUCUCCAAUUACUCUAUUUUCAAAAUCGUUAUUCAAUUUCAAGACAAUUUAUAAAAUCUUUUCAUGUAAAUACAUUUUGUUUGUAAAACACAAAGAUUUACCAUUUAAACUCCUUUUCAUAAAAUUUCACCAAAACCGAAUAAAAACAUACUUUAGAUAAUAAAAAUGAUGGUAAGGUUACUCACAAUGUCCAGAGUGGGGAUUCUCGAAAUACUCAGAUUACUGGUCCUCGGGUACAAUUUCCUUGCCUUUAUCGGAGGACUCACCACCUUGACACAGUACAAAAUUGAGAAUUUCACCACAUUGGUACUAAAUUGAAAUUAAACUAAUUUAGACUACUAAUUCAUGAUAUGGAAUGCAAAAGGUCUAAAUUUUGCCUAAACACCAUAUUGACCUAUUUCGGUCUUUUACCCGAUAAAUUGAAAUACGCAUCCAAUUUAGCUCCAAUUGAUCCCAUUUCUUUUUCUAAUGCUUCAAAUCACUAAUGUCCAGCUAAAUAACCCAAAAUCAGCAAAGCCACAUUCAUAUUUCUUCUUGGAAAAAUUCGGCCAAAAUGGUUCAUCAUUGUCACAAUUUUUCCUACUUGAUUUUCUUUCCAUAAUUCAUUAAUUUCCAUAUCAAAAACCAUGAUUUCAUAAUCAAAUAACCUAAAAUAACAUCACAUUCUUCCUCACCAUUUACUUGAAAAUUCAGCUAAGGCUAGGUAAUGGGAAAAAUGAAUGUUUUUCUACAUAUUUUGUUUACUAACAUGCUAAACUAACACUAAACACUAACAUAUAUCAAAAUCAAAUCAAUCCAACAAUUUUCUCUCUCUAGACCCAUAUGACCAGCCAUUAAAUCACCAUGAAAACAUGCAAUUUAAUCAUGGAAAAUAAGGAGAAAUGCUUGGGAAUAAGAAAACUCAAGCUUAAUAGAAAAAAUCUUACCUUUUUCACUUAAUUUCCUUGAAAAUACACACUUUUUCUUUGAUUUUCUCUCUCUAGGGUUUGGUUUUUGUUUUCUCUCUCUUCUUGCUGGUUUGGCCAAGCAUGGGGUGGAAGAUGGGCUGGUUUUUGUGCCUUUUAAAAAGGAAAAAUAAUAAAUUAAUAAAGGCAUGACACGUGGCAUCAUGUCAUUGGCCCGUUUUUAAAACUUUAAAAAUUUUAAUCCUUUUAUGUCCACCACACAAUUAGUCAAUGGUCAAAAUGAGGAUAAGGGAAGACCAUGUGCUGGACAAAUGUCCUAGUGGUGGAAAAUUACUGUUUUGCCCCUAGGGUGGUAAAAUUACCAUUUUACCCCUAUGCUCCGAAAAAUACCAAGAAUAAAUUUUUUUCACUUCUUAAUCCUCAAAUCAUACUCCAAUAAGUCAAAUGGGGCCAAAAAUCUUUUCUAAAAAUUCCUGUUUUGUCCUCAAGUGGCAAAUGAUCACUGUACACCUAGAUAGUGAAAAUUUCAGUUUGACUCCAAAUUGAUCCUCGAACUCCGAUUCACCAUAUUAAACCAUUCUGGGACUUUAAUAUUCUUAAUUUCAUCUUAAAUUCUCUAUUUCAUCUAGUUCGAGGCUUAAAUCAACUUUAUUGUACCUUUAGGUACAAUACCGACUUUUGUAAAUUUUUCGAGACUCUCCUAACAUGCAAACAUGCUAUCCAUCACAUGUAUGUCAUGACAAGUAUUUUAUAGAGUCAUGCUUGACAUCUUUUCCCCUACUUCGAUCAACCAUAUGAUCCUUCUUCAUGUCUGAUUUUGACAUCUAGAUAAAUAUUAAUAUUUGAAAAUUAUUUCAUUAAUAAAAUAUUAUUUUAUUCUAAAAAUUUUAUCUUGUCUCUUUGGUUUCCAAAGUUCCUUAUUAUGCCUCAAUUCUCAUCCAACCAACUUUAUUUAUCACCAUAUCAAAGUAUGGGGCAUUCCCUGGAAUCCCACACUUUUUCUUCAAUUUUCCCACCUAGGGUUUGUGUUCUUCCCUUUCCUCCUCACUUCAUGCUUUGGCCGCCCAUAUGGGUGAGACUAAGAGAGUUUUAAAUAGAUUUUACAAGCAAGUUCUAGAAUGAUCCAAGCUUGACACAUGGCAUGUUUCCAUUGGUCCAUGUGUAAUACUUAUCCAUUAAGCAAUCUCUCUCCACCACAUAAAACUUUUCAAUUAUCAACAAUGUAAAAUGGUAAUGGCUGAAAUCCAUGGGCAUGACAAGUGUUAGGUGGUGUAAAAUUCUAAAAUUCCAACUUUUCCCGCAUAAACUCAUAAAAUUACCGUUUUGCCCCUAGGACUCCAAAAGUCUCAGAAUUUAAAUUUUUAACCUUUCAAAUUCAAAUCAUACUCUAAUGAGUCCAAUGUGAUGAAAAUAUUUUCUAAAAAUUUCCAUUUUAUCCUCGGGUGACAAAAUUACCAUUUUGCCUAUAGAACAUGAAAAUUCUAAAUUGACUCUAAUUCAGCCCUCGAACUUCAAAUCAUCAUUUUAAGUCAUUUCUGAACUGUAAAAUUUUGAAUUUCACCUUAAAAUCCCUAUUUGACCUAGUUCGAGGCUUAGAUCAACUUUAUUGUACCUCUAGGUACAAUACCGACUUUUGUUAAUUUUUCGAGGCUCUCCUAGUAUGUAAACAUGCUAUCCAUCACAUGUAUGUCAUGACAAGUAUUUUCUAAUGUCGGGCUUUACAGCACUACCCCACUUAAAAUAAAAUUUUGUCUUCAAAAUUUCUUUUAUCAAACUCAAAGAAAAGGUGGGGUAUUUUCUUCCAUUAUUUCAACAUACUUCCUGUUUAUCUCACAAGUAUGAAAUAUCAAUCUUCUUAAUCAUAUUAAUCAAUCGCGUACAGCUUAACCAUGCUAUAGAUCAUAUUUCCUUGAUAUUAUCUCCUUGACUAUUUUCCAGAGUCUCUUAUGUCCACAUAGUUCAAUUUCUGAUAAAAUUUCUUAUCAUUGUACUACCUACAUCACUCAUCAUAUAUUAAGUUUGAAUCUUAAUUCACUAAAAAUCAUUCUUCAUUUUAGUUGAUCACAAUAUCCACCCAACAUAUGUGUAUAUGCCUUAUAAUCUCAUUUAUGCUUCCAAGAUCUAUCUUGAUUUUAUCAUUGAAUACGAUGCAGUGUCACAAUUCCUCAAAGUCAUCCCUUUGUCCUCAAUCAUCUUUCAUGACUCUAUAUUGCUUUGUAUCCUUCUUGUACUUCGACAUUAAUUUGUUACUUAAGAUUUAAAUUCAUUUGAACUUUGUAUACUUCAAGCAUUUUUUAGUUCUAAUUUCCACAAUAUAAUAAGAAAUUCUUACAGUAAUAUUCCAUAUGAACUUAUUUACUAUAUUAUUCUUGAAACCUUUAUUUACUUUCUCCUCGUUUGAUAUUGACAUCCUUGGUCACUAUCUCACAUCUUCAUCUAUAAGCAUCUCCAAAACUCUUCAUGUCCUAUGUCCCACCUUAGGACAUUCUUCUUAUACUACGUCCACCUAAGGUUACUGUAUUAUAAGCUUCAACAAAACACUAAACAUCUUUAGGAUCAUCAUCAUCCUGAUCUGCUUUUCAGUCUAUUUCAAGUUUUCCCUUUUUCUUCUUUUGCCAUCCCCUUACAUUGCUCCCACAGCCUGGGCGAGAAUGUCUAAUGACUGAUGUAGAUGCUUUCCCACUAUAAUACUCUUCUUCUGCUAUCCUCAAGUUCUAUAUGCAAAUGCAUCAUAUUCAAUCUAACCUGACUUAACUUAACUCGGGGCCACAUAGUGUCAGUGUGGAUUUCUUAAAACAACUUUAAAACCAAAAACUUUAAAAUCCAAAGCUUUAAAACCAAAAUCUCUAAUCUUUAAACCAUGCUUUGAUAUCAAUCAAAUUGUCACGACCCAAAACUCCCAUCGAGCCCGUGACAACCGUCGCGAAGUCUCGUCAGACAUUUUUUACCCCGAAUGCUAACGAAAACCUCGCAAGGCUUUUGUAUCAAUUUCUUAUCUCACAUGUGAUCGAUAGUCACUAAAAUCAAACAAUAUGGACCAUUUUCCCAUCCAAAAACAAUGAAAAUUUAUUUCUGCCUCAUAAGGGUAUUUUAGUCAUUUUUUUUCUGUUUUCAAAAAUUUUGAAAUCCGUAAAAAAUGUAAUAUGUAAAUGGAAACACAUAUUUCAUGAUUUAAAUUAAAUUUUGAAGUCUAGAACAUUCAUUUAAAGUAAAUUUAUAGCUAUUUGAAUAUAAUAAAAACUUUAAAUAAAAUAUUCUAUUUUCUUAAAACACAAUAGUUUCAAAGUCUUCCUAAAAAAACUUUUGUAGCGUAAGAGUAAAAUAAAAUUAUUCAUAUAGUAAUAAAGAUAGUUAAAGUAUGAAAUUUUGUUUACAGUGAUACGUGGGCCCCCAACUGACCAAGAAGGUGUAGGGCUACGAACCCUUACUUUCUAGGAUGCAACUCCGAGAUUAAUUUUCAUCUGAAUCAACUAUCAACAAACUGUCCUGAGCCUGAAAAAUGAUAGGAAGAGGGGUGAGAUUACAUAAUCCCAAUGAGUAACAAUUACCAUCAAAAACAUUUAAAGCUGAGUACAUGAAGACAAUAUAAAAAUGUUCUAUCUUAAUAAUGUUCAUAACGCAAAAUUUGUUUCGAUCUAUACCAAACCAUUUCGUUUCAUCAAAAUUUCCUAGCUUAUGAAUUUUGUAAACUUGGCCCCUGCCAUAAUUAUUCUCGCGGGUACCUUUGUCAAGGUAUCCCACUGAGACCGCCAAGGUUGUUAAAUGUCCCAUACCCA